AAGCGAAAUAAGAAUGUGACUGGCCACACUGAAACAGGACAACUUUAAAAUUUAAAUCACUUAUAACUGGAAAUAACAGAAUAAAGGAGCAAGGAUAUCCAGGCUGCCUACUCUCUGCCUACAGAGAUCUGAACUGAGAGAACUGUGAAGUUGACAGUGGAUCGGAACAUCACUAGCAAGAUGGAAAGAACAAAGACAACAAGCUCCUGGCGAUUCUCCUGCAGAAUUCCUCUAGUCACGUAGUAUACGCAGAACACUGAAAAGGAGAAAGAAAGUAAAGAAAAAAAGCAU
This is a non-coding RNA of Struthio camelus australis, 291 nucleotides long. NCBI's taxonomy places the organism in Eukaryota, Metazoa, Chordata, Aves, Struthioniformes, Struthionidae. The record is from RefSeq and is a predicted model, not a curated record.